This 69-nucleotide transfer RNA is filed under the name Neotoma lepida (desert woodrat). It matches the Rfam family "tRNA". From Rfam's summary of the family: Transfer RNA (tRNA) molecules are approximately 80 nucleotides in length. Their secondary structure includes four short double-helical elements and three loops (D, anti-codon, and T loops). Further hydrogen bonds mediate the characteristic L-shaped molecular structure. tRNAs have two regions of fundamental functional importance: the anti-codon, which is responsible for specific mRNA codon recognition, and the 3' end, to which the tRNAs corresponding amino acid is attached (by aminoacyl-tRNA synthetases). tRNAs cope with the degeneracy of the genetic code in two manners: having more than one tRNA (with a specific anti-codon) for a particular amino acid; and 'wobble' base-pairing, i.e. permitting non-standard base-pairing at the 3rd anti-codon position. Lineage: Eukaryota; Metazoa; Chordata; Mammalia; Rodentia; Cricetidae. The record is from Rfam by way of RNAcentral.
GGAUUUGUAGCUCAGUAGUAGAGUGCUCACAUAGUAUGUGUGAGGCCCUGGGUUCAAAGCCCAGCACCA